Molecule: non-coding RNA, 566 nt
Filed under: Pongo abelii (Sumatran orangutan)
Lineage: Eukaryota; Metazoa; Chordata; Mammalia; Primates; Hominidae
Source: RNAcentral
AAGUGCCUACCACGCCACCCCCUAUCUGCAAGAAUCCAUCUGAAGAGGUCGCGGGGCAGCGGCUCCGCAGACAGACUGACCUGCGGGGAGGUGCGGUUUCCAGUGGCGCGGGACAAGCCGGCUCCGAGAGGGAACUGGGACCUUUGCCUAGGGCAAGACGUCAACAGGAACCCGCAGGCCCGCCCUGGACACCUGCUUCCCGCACUGGAGGCUUUAACUCCCACUCGAGUCUCUUGGCGUCGUCAGUGCCAGGAGCGCUUGGAUUGGGAUGGGGACGGAGAAAGGUGCCUCGCUCGCCGAGCCCCGCUGCACUUGGGGACCUGGCAAAGUCGAGGUUUCCUCACAGCGUUGAGAUUGAGACUGGGGAUCGUGGUCUCAAAUAGUCAAGACCCCCUGCUGGGGGGAGCGUCUAUCCUGCUCUGUGGAAGAAAUGGGCAUGCCAGAUGCCUGGAAGAUCAGAGGCUCACAUUCCAGCUGGAACCAUGGAGGAUGUAGAAGAGAAGAAGAAGAAGGUUCCUGCUAUGCCAGAAACUCUUAAGAAAAAGGGAAGGAAUUUCGCAGAGCUG